GAGUUUGAUCGUGGCUCAGAUUGAACGCUGGCGGCAUGCCUUACACAUGCAAGUCGAACGGUAACAGGUCUUCGGAUGCUGACGAGUGGCGAACGGGUGAGUAAUACAUCGGAACGUGCCCGAUCGUGGGGGGAUAACGAGACGAAGCUUUGCUAAUACCGCAUAAGAUCUACGGAUGAAAGCAGGGGACCGCAAGGCCUUGCGCGAACGGAGCGGCCGAUGGCAGAUUAGGUAGUUGGUGGGAUAAAAGCUUACCAAGCCGACGAUCUGUAGCUGGUCUGAGAGGACGACCAGCCACACUGGGACUGAGACACGGCCCAGACUCCUACGGGAGGCAGCAGUGGGGAAUUUUGGACAA
RNAcentral lists this ribosomal RNA (358 nucleotides) under uncultured microorganism. RNAcentral describes it as "bacterial SSU rRNA". It matches the Rfam family "Bacterial small subunit ribosomal RNA", at positions 9 to 371 of the family's 1533-position model. The record is from RNAcentral.